This 433-nucleotide ribosomal RNA is filed under the name uncultured bacterium. RNAcentral describes it as "partial 16S ribosomal RNA". It matches the Rfam family "Bacterial small subunit ribosomal RNA", at positions 29 to 507 of the family's 1533-position model. The record is from RNAcentral.
AACGAACGCUGGCGGCAUGCCUAACACAUGCAAGUCGAACGAGACCUUCGGGUCUAGUGGCGCACGGGUGCGUAACGCGUGGGAACCUGCCCUUAGGUUCGGAAUAACUCCCCGAAAGGGGUGCUAAUACCGGAUAAUGUCUUCGGACCAAAGAUUUAUCGCCUUUGGAUGGGCCCGCGUUGGAUUAGCUAGUUGGUAGGGUAAAAGCCUACCAAGACGACGAUCCAUAGCUGGUCUGAGAGGAUGAUCAGCCACACUGGGACUGAGACACGGCCCAGACUCCUACGGGAGGCAGCAGUGGGGAAUAUUGGACAAUGGGCGAAAGCCUGAUCCAGCAAUGCCGCGUGAGUGAUGAAGGCCUUAGGGUUGUAAAGCUCUUUUACCCGGGAUGAUAAUGACAGUACCGGGAGAAUAAGCUCCGGCUAACACCGUG